RNAcentral lists this ribosomal RNA (340 nucleotides) under Ralstonia pseudosolanacearum. RNAcentral describes it as "bacterial SSU rRNA". It matches the Rfam family "Bacterial small subunit ribosomal RNA", at positions 1 to 339 of the family's 1533-position model. The record is from RNAcentral. Lineage: Bacteria; Pseudomonadati; Pseudomonadota; Betaproteobacteria; Burkholderiales; Burkholderiaceae.
GAACUGAAGAGUUUGAUCCUGGCUCAGAUUGAACGCUGGCGGCAUGCCUUACACAUGCAAGUCGAACGGCAGCGGGGGUAGCUUGCUACCUGCCGGCGAGUGGCGAACGGGUGAGUAAUACAUCGGAACGUGCCCUGUAGUGGGGGAUAACUAGUCGAAAGACUAGCUAAUACCGCAUACGACCUGAGGGUGAAAGUGGGGGACCGCAAGGCCUCAUGCUAUAGGAGCGGCCGAUGUCUGAUUAGCUAGUUGGUGGGGUAAAAGCCCACCAAGGCGACGAUCAGUAGCUGGUCUGAGAGGACGAUCAGCCACACUGGGACUGAGACACGGCCCAGACUCC